Molecule: non-coding RNA, 1018 nt
Organism: Linepithema humile (Argentine ant)
Lineage: Eukaryota; Metazoa; Arthropoda; Insecta; Hymenoptera; Formicidae
Source: RefSeq, a predicted model, not a curated record
GUUACUGUAUGCUAAUGUGAUUAGUUUCUGGCUCAUCUCUUUGUUACGGCCUUCCACGUUCUGCAUUAGUGAAUGUGUGAUAUUAGUGAAUGUAUGACAAGCCUGCACAAGCAAGUUCAUUCAAAAGUUCUCGAAAGAGAAGUCAAGAGAUUUGAAAGGAAAAGUUUAUAAGACCAAUUUCUACGCAUAAUAUAAGGCAAAUUUUUGAUACCGACACUAAUCGAAAUUAAAAAAAAAUAAAGGUUAUUAAGAAAGCUCGAAAGAAAGUCCACACGAGUUUCUCGAAAGAAAAUUAUCCUUUGGAUUAAACACGGCAAUUUCUUUUUUUCCCCCUUUUACUUCUACACAACUUUAAAGUUUCUUUUGUUCUAGCCUAAAAAUAAAAAAAUGUUAAAAUGUCAAAUGUGUAAUUUCACGUUUCCUUCUAUUCUUUUGUACAAUAAGCAUCAGAUCUUGCAUAAAAACAUGUCUCAUUUACAAAUAACUUGUUUUUUUAGAGGUUGCGGAAAACAAUUUAACAGAUAUUUUAACUUUAAAAAACAUAUUCUUAGAUGGCACACUACAAAUUGCAAUGAACAAAUAGAUGUAAUUUAUCGUUGUAAAGAAAAAGAUUGUAAUGUCUGUUUCACAAGUAGAAGAGAUUUUAAUAGACACUUAUAUCGUCACGUAAGGCAAAGUAAAAUUGGUAUAUAUUGUGGAUACCCAGCUUGUUUUUGUUGCGACAUUAAAUAUCAGUUGCGAUAAAAACACGCGUGGGCCCACGAAAAAGGUUUCGCCGACUUCAGUCGGCAUGCGACAAAGGCUUCGCCGACUUAAGACAACAAACAACCAACAUGUCCGGCGUUAGCCGAUAACCGCGUCACAUAAGAUUAUGACCAUUUAGAUUGGUUACUUAAAAUGUAUUUCUUUUGAUUGGUUCCCUUCUACCACCGCAAGAUGCUAUAUAAGCAGCGAGAUUAAUUCACGAAGCUUAGAUCUGUAUAAUAUCGCGACUUUAUAACAAGCCGAGAUACAUACG